UUAACAUUUUUAUUCCAUGCUUAAUCUGAGCUUCACUUCAUAUAUCCGAAUCCUUGUGUGUCGGUUUGUUUUAAUUAAUUUAAAUCAUCCCCAGAAUUCAUAUAAGUAGAUCCGGCUUGAUCGUAUAUGAGUAAUAGAUGUUAUAGUUGAAAGAUCCCGAAAUCUUAUAUUGAUCCUAUUCUGUCAUCUUCAGUUUUGUCUUGCUUCUGUUUGGUGUCUUAAAUGAUUGGCUUCAUAUUCUGCUUCAGUUAGAUUUCAGUUCAGAUCGCUUGAUUGAAUUUUUUUUUGAGUAUCUAGCUUUAAUUGGACUGUAGAAUGUUUUUGGCUUGGGUGGUGCUUCCCUUUCCCUAAUUUUGUGGCCAAUCUUCCCAAAGCAGGCAGUAGAUAUAAUCAGAAUUAGUAAACACCAUAGCUGUAGACCUUGGAUUGUAGUAAUGUUCAUUUUUUUUAAGCCACUCGAGACAAGGCUGAGAUAACGCUUUUUAAACACAUGGCUUUCGUUAAAGUCCUGAUGAGUAUCAGUUAAGAGAUACUAGCUUUUCAGUUUUAUGGGCAUUAUGCUUGGGUACUGGCCAACAUGAGAGUAACGCAUAAAUGAUAGAUUCAUCAAAGUUUAAUGAAUUCAUAAGAUUACUCAUGCAUUUGCAAUUUCCCAUAGAGCCUGUUUCUUAGUUUAUUUGAUGUGGAAAUUCGAUUAAUUGUUCACGUUUUUUAAAGUCCUCAUUCGUGUAUAUGGAUUUCCUUGAAUUUAUGAGUUGUAAAUUGAACGAUAGUGUUACUUUACUUUGUUUUCUUAUUUUAUAAAAGAAUUAUAUCGUUACUCUAAUCUUCUAUUAUUUUCUUUGUUUCGCAUGUACAACCGGAGUCGAAGUAUGGAGUUUGCAUAUCUGUGCCCAAUCUUGCUUGAGCUGAAAAUCACGAAAAAUCUCAAUCUCUCGUGAAAGUCAAAAAUGGCUUUUUCACCUCUUUAUACACCAUCUCUGUCAUCUCAUUUUCAUUCUUCUGACAUUUUGUUUAUAUGUUUGGUGUGACUAACAUUUUAUAUUAUUUUAUUUUUCUGACUUAGAUGAACGUUAGCAAAUUAGUGAAGUUUAAUAAUGGGUAGUUAAUUCCACAAAUUCAUACUCAUUUCUAGUUAUGUUGUAAACUAUUUAUGGUAUUUAUAAUAUUUAUUUGAGGAAUUGACAUUCAAAACGGCAUGACUAUAUAUUUUGAGUCAAAGGAAUCAUUCUUUACUUUAUUAUCUUAAAAAUUUCAAAUCGUCACUAAUAUGUAAAUAUUAAUCCAAGUAUACUUUAUAAACAUUAUUUUUAAGAUUUAUUCAACUAUGUACACUUUUAGUCGAAUAUAAUUAAAUAAAGUUAAUAAAAAAGAAAAUUCAUGUCCUUUGUAUCAUAUUUAUAAAGCUAGAUUUUGUUUGCAUUGUUAUAUUAACACAAUUUUAUCCUAAGUUUUAACUUCGCUAAACUUACUGCCUAUAUGAAAAUCAUUACCUUUUCAAGUUCGCUUUCAAUAAUACUUAAAAUAUUUUCUAAUACAAAUCGUUAUAUUUUACAGGUCUUAUUUUUAAUAACAUUACUACAUUUUCCUUUAAAAUUUUAGCAAUAUUUAUGAGCUAUUUUCCAAACAUUCAAAAUAUUAUAUUUACACUUAGCCUACCUAAUCGUAAGUCCGGUCGGUUAACCAUUGUUAAUGGGUCUUAAAGGGUGCCUAAUACCUUUCCUUUAGACUAAUUGAACCCUUACCUAGAAUCUUAAGUUUCGCAGACCUUAAACAGAGCUAACUUUAGAAAAUAACUUUAAUAAACUUUAGGUGUCCUAAUUCACCAUGAAUAAUUAGGUGGCGACUCCUUAAAACAAAUAAACAAAAACAGGAAUCUUCAAUACGUCAUACUUCUACCAUUAACUCCGGUUAAAAAGGGGGUGUGACACAGUUCAUUAAACAUCAUCUUCUUUGGAAAUUACAAUGCAGGAGUGGUGAAAACUCCCUUGAAGCUCUCAAAAGAUAACGUGGAGCUGCAAUUUUCUGCCUCGUUGCGUUCUGCAGUAAGAUGCAGAUUCAAUUGAAAUCAAGAAAAUUCGUGGAAAAGCCAGAAAAAAGGUCUUGAGAAUGGAAGUAAUCUAUGAAAAAAGGAUGAUACAAGAGAUCCCAAUUGGUAAAAGAAGGUCACCUAUGGAAAUUCAAUCAGCAAAGCGCUAUCAAGCGAGUGGGGAAUAAUCCCUCGAAAUUUUGUUUCUCUUCAAACAAGUGGAAUGAACUCACAAGAGAGGAGAAAGCACAAUGAUUAGAUAUUGUAUUUUUCAAGACAAUCUCAUUUUUGUCAUAGGAGAUAUUAGUUCGUCAUAAAUUGACUACAUUUGUGACAAAACAUAGUCUUUUUUCCUAAAUUGCCUUCUGAUCAGUAAUAUAAUUCAAUUUUUGACUACA
Lycium barbarum (goji berry) is the source of this 2427-nucleotide long non-coding RNA. RefSeq lists it as uncharacterized. NCBI's taxonomy places the organism in Eukaryota, Viridiplantae, Streptophyta, Magnoliopsida, Solanales, Solanaceae. The record is from RefSeq and is a predicted model, not a curated record. The transcript is spliced from 2 exons.